AUGCUUCCGGUGCAAUCUCCUGUCGGCGGUGAGCUACUCCUCCGCCUGCUGGUGCUCCUGGAGGAGCUGGUGGUUGUAGACGAUGUUAGCAUGCGCCUCCCGGAACUGCUCCUCACGCACCAUGUCCAUGUAAUAGGCACGAGCCUCGCCGAUGGUCAUGGUGCAAUGCAGUGGCGAGGGUGGCGGCGAGGAGGAGGAGGGUGGCGCUGGCUCGUCGUCGACCGCGUCCUCCAUUGGGACGUUGUCGUCCUCCGGCUGCCAGCCGACAGCAAUGGCGGCCAUCUCCUUCUAAUCCGUUGUCAGCCCGUCUCAGAGAGCUUUGGAGUGCGGGGAAGCCAUGGUGGGAAUGGUGCAGAGAGGAGAAAGGGAUCAAAGGCGGAUGAUUGCGGCUAUGGUCAGGACAAUAAUUUAUAUAGCAACGAUGGCCGGCAGAGGGGCGGACGGGUGGUGUCGGAGUAG
RNAcentral lists this ribosomal RNA (459 nucleotides) under Triticum aestivum (bread wheat). RNAcentral's name for it is "partial small subunit ribosomal RNA". The record is from RNAcentral. Lineage: Eukaryota; Viridiplantae; Streptophyta; Magnoliopsida; Poales; Poaceae.